This 538-nucleotide ribosomal RNA is filed under the name uncultured bacterium. Its description in RNAcentral is "bacterial LSU rRNA". It matches the Rfam family "Bacterial large subunit ribosomal RNA", at positions 1059 to 1580 of the family's 2925-position model. The record is from RNAcentral.
CUAAGUGAACACUAGAAAGGAUGUGGCGGGUCAUUGACAACCAGGAAGUUGGCUUAGAAGCAGCCAUCUUUUAAAGAAAGCGUAAUAGCUCACUGGUCGAGACAAGCCGCGCCGAAAAUGUAACGGGGCUAAGCCUAGCACCGAAGCCACGGGUCACACUCGUUAUGACGGGUGUGGCGGUAGGGGAGCGUUGAAGUUGCUGCGAAGCACGAUGGUAAUGGCGUGUGGAGCGACUUCAAGUGCUGAUGCCGAAAUGAGUAGCGAUAAGGGAAGUGAGAAUCUUCCCCCCCGUAAGCGUAAGGUUCCUGGGUCAAGUCAAUCUUCCCAGGGUUAGCCGGGUCCUAAGUCGAGCCCGAAAGGGGUAGAUGAUGGCAAGCAGGUUAAUAUUCCUGCGCUGGCUGUUAGACGUCGAACUAAGGGGUGACGGAGAAAGCUAACUGGGCCAAAUAGUGGUUGCGUUGGUCUAAGGUCGUAGGAGUGUCUCGUACGAAUAAAGGCGGGGGCAGGUUAUCUCCGAGAGCCGAAUGCGAGCGCGUCA